UUUGAGAGUUUGAUCCUGGCUCAGGAUGAACGCUGGCGGCGUGGAUAAGGCAUGCAAGUCAAGGGGUCGCCUUCGGGCGACACCGGCGAACGAGUUAGUAACACGUAGAUACUUACCCUUAACACACGCAUAACUAGCCGAAAGGUUAGCUAAUUCGUGAUAGUCCUUGAAUAAAGGUAAAGGGUGUCCGUAAGGAAUACCGGUUAGGGAAAGGUCUGCGGCCUAUCAGCUAGUUGGUUAGGUAACGGCUAACCAAGGCGAUGACGGGUAGGGGAAGUGAGAGCUUGUCCCCCAACGGCGGAACUGCGACACGGUCCGCACUCCUACGGGAGGCAGCAGUCGAGAAUAUUGGUCAAUGGGCGAAAGCCUGAACCAGCAACGCCGCGUGCUUGAAGAAGCCCUUCGGGGUGUAAAGAGCUUUUGCGCGAGAAGAAGCUUCGGCUGACGUUAUCGCGCGAAUAAGAGGUCGCUAAACUCGUGCCAGCAGCGGCGGUAAUACGAGUACCUCAAGCGUUAUCCGGAUUUAUUGGGCGUAAAGGGUCCGUAGGCGGCCAGGAAAGUCUCUGGUUAAAUACCCAGGGCUCAACCUUGGGGGUGCCAGAGAUACUAUCUGGCUAGAGGGCGUUAGGGGCUGAUGGAACGGUCGGUGUAGGGGUGAAAUCCGUUGAUAUCGACCGGAACACCAAAAGCGAAGGCAUUCAGCUGGGACGGCCCUGACGCUGAAGGACGAAAGCGUGGGGAGCAAACGAGAUUAGAUACCUCGGUAGUCCACGCCCUAAACGAUGGACACUGGCUAUCUGAAGUGUCGACCCUUCGGGUGGCGAAGCUAACGCGUUAAGUGUCCCGCCUGGGAAGUACGACGGCAACGUUAAAACUCAAAGGAAUAGACGGGGACCUACACAA
RNAcentral lists this ribosomal RNA (903 nucleotides) under Candidatus Kuenenbacteria bacterium CG_4_9_14_3_um_filter_39_14. RNAcentral describes it as "bacterial SSU rRNA". It matches the Rfam family "Bacterial small subunit ribosomal RNA", at positions 1 to 928 of the family's 1533-position model. The record is from RNAcentral. Lineage: Bacteria; Candidatus Kueneniibacteriota.